Non-coding RNA from Phascolarctos cinereus (koala), 1692 nucleotides. NCBI's taxonomy places the organism in Eukaryota, Metazoa, Chordata, Mammalia, Diprotodontia, Phascolarctidae. The record is from RefSeq and is a predicted model, not a curated record.
GGAAGAAAGAGUAAAGUUUGGGUAUGAAAUCUAGUGUGAAAUUUGGAGCACCUGGGACAAUCUGAGAUUUGAAAUAAAGCAUUCGGUAUCCUGUUUAGGAGAAGUGUUCCCAAAGUCUUUGCUCUUCCAAAAAGUUAUAAGAGGUAAUGUAGAAAAGUGAAGUGUAUGUUUCCUAGUUUUAGACUUUGUUAAACAAAAUCUAAAAUUCUGUCCUUGGUAGUAAUUUCUACACAGAAACCACCUUUUUGAAACACAUUAUAGGUUUCACUUCCUCAGCAAUGCAGUAUCACUAGUAUGUAAUGAUAGAGAUUCCUCCCCCAACCAAGGACCUCUCUAAUUUCCUCUUGAAGGCCCAUAAGAUAGUUCUAUGGCAAACACUGGUGCCUCAGUUGUUUAGGGACAUGGGAAAUAAAUGGCUUAUUGGUUCCCUCAAAGGUUUGUGAAGAACAGGGAUCUGAGCUCUGUUUCUGACCUUUGGCCUUAUCAAGCUGUGUUUCCUCAAAAGUAAGAAUGCUUUUUUUUUUUUAAUCAACAUCAGUCCCUGUUGGGAGUGACAGAGAGGGGUGUGUGGCCCAUGCUUCAGAAGAAGCUGUUUAUCGGCUCUCAAGUUGGAAAUGGAAAAAUCCAGGGCCCUUUCCCUUUAACUUUACAUCCCAUCCAGGUCUGUGAUGGCUUUAGUCACUAUUCUUUGAAAAUUGUCUUCAUCUUAUUUCUAGUUAAGGACGUUUUUCAUGGAAUGUAUCCUCCAAUCUAACCUUCCCCUUGUACUCUGGCCUAAUGUCAAGCCCAUCAAAGUGAAUGUCCAUGAAACUAUGCCUUCUCCCUUCUUUCUUACUCCUCUUAGGAAGCUGUUUGGUGCCUGUCCAAGUCCUGGAUCCUUGCUGAUUAAGAAAACCGACCAGGCCCCGAAAUGAGAUGCCACUGAAAAUCCUAUUCCCUCAGAUUCUCCUAUUCCUUGAAAAGAAGAAACUAAGUAGACCAUAACCUGUGUGAGGACAAACAGAAUGCUAUGAGAAGUCCAGAGGAAUAAUGAGAUUGAUAGCGGGAUCAAGAAUGGCUUCCUAGAAGAGGCAAUGUGUGAGCUAAGUGUUAAAGGAAGUCUAACAGGAGAAAAGGAGAGCAUUCCAGAACUGUGACUUCAUCAGCAUAGGGAGCUCCCUGGUUGAGGAAAAUCUCUGUACAACAAUGAAGAACAACAACUACUGACCACCUUAAAGAGUUUCGUGCGGGUACCGAGAGGUUAAAAUGCACGGGUCACAGAGCCAGGAUGUGUCAGAGGCAAGGGGAGAAAGGAAAAACCUUUCAAUCAUAAACGUAUCAUGGGAUUGUACAGCCCAAUUUCUGAGCAGCGUUUAAUGUUGUCAUCUCUUAAAAAACAUGCUAUUGACCCAGAGGAUCCAAGCGCUGGCCUAUAACUGUGUGCUCCAUGGAACCUAAAGACUUCAGCCAGUGUUAAAUUCUUCUCAUUUUACCUGAUUUGUGGAUUCCUGUAUAUCUGGACAGUUUUAAGAUACGACAUAUUCUAAGAUACAAACCGUAUCUGUACCAAUGGCAGCCGUUCAAAAAGUGAUGUGUGGCAAGGCCAAAAAAGUCUUUUCUAUGACUAUUUCCUGAAGAAGUCAUUGCUAUAUACCCUUUGAUCUGGCAAUAGCACUUCUAGGGCUAUAUCCCAAAGACAUCAAACAAAUGGGA